AUUCAAUUAUUGAUCUCCAGCUUACCUAUUGUAUUUAUUUUCUCAAUUCAUCACCCAGAAUUCAAUAUCUCGGCUUAUAACUCUCACAAUCUUGCACUCUAGACUAACUUCUUAGUAUUCAGAAACUAUCCAUUACUCGUCAACAAUAAAGAAACAAAAAGAGGUAGCACCAAGCUUUCCUCGGCUUACGACUAUCAGAGUGUGGCCCCGAUCUCCCUAUCCUCAACCUCUUUAUCCUACCAAAAGAUGGACCGUUGGCCAGCAGAUUUCAAAGAUUAUGACCUUUUGAAUUCUUAACCAUUUAUUCCACU
Molecule: long non-coding RNA, 311 nt
Filed under: Physcomitrium patens
Lineage: Eukaryota; Viridiplantae; Streptophyta; Bryopsida; Funariales; Funariaceae
Description: long non-coding RNA (PPAT_LNC012889)
Source: RNAcentral